Molecule: long non-coding RNA, 5590 nt
Filed under: Homo sapiens (human)
Lineage: Eukaryota; Metazoa; Chordata; Mammalia; Primates; Hominidae
Description: non-protein coding lnc-MPPE1-8:2
Source: RNAcentral
GCAGUCAUUAAAGAAUGUUAGCCAGGUGCAGUGGUGCACGCCUUUAAUCCCAGCACUUUGGGAGGUGGAGGUGGGUGGAUCGCCUGAGGUCAGGAGUUUGAGACCAACCUAGCCAACAUUGUGAAACCCUGUCUCUACGAAAACUACAAAAAUUAGCCAGGUGUGGUGGCACGCAUGCCUGUAAUCCCAGCUACUUGGGAGGCUGAGGCAGGAGAAUCGCUUGAACCCGGGAGGCAGAGGUUGUAGUGAGCCGAGAUCACACCACUGCACUCCAGCCUGGGCGAUAGAGUGAGACUCCGUCUCAAAAAAAAAAAAAAGAAUGUCAACUGCUCCUGGCUCUGCAGAGGUAUGGCCCAGGUGACAGGGCUAUUGAGAGGCCAAAGGGACCCUGAUCAGCCAGUGGUGUCUUUGGAAUAGGUGCUGCAAGCUCUGGGAGGUGCUACUGCGCACCAGAAGGUUGGUGAGUUGGCCAAGGGUGUGGAGCUGGCUCCAGAGGGGAAGGAACAAAGGGAAGGGACCCUCUGGGAGCUGGAGAGACUUGGGAGCCUGGAGGCAGGAAUUCCCUGCCAUUGCCUGAGGCCUGGUUUGGAAAGUACAAUGCAGUUUUGGCAUGGUGGUUGCUGGCCUGGAAUGUGGUGGGGUGAAGAGCGUGGUGGAAGGACACACUGAGUUCCUGACCAUCCAGCAACAAAGGAGCAAAAAGACCUUGGAAUCCAUGAGAAGUUUGAAGGUCCUGAUUUUCACGCCAUGAUUGGAGAUUCCUGUGAUGUAUGUGCUGGGCAGAGAGGCCAGGCCCUGAAGGCCAUCCUGUUCCAGGCAUCCUUUCUGUAUAGGAAGUCUGAGGGUUACGUUAGAUAAGGAAUGGGAAGCCACUGCAGUUCUCCACCCAAGGCCUUUGGCUCAAUACCAGCUUCCAGAUCCUCAGGAGAAAACCCCCCUUUUCUUGAAGUCACUUGUUAUGAUGACAAAUAUUGCUAUGAACAUCCAUCUACCAGUUUUUGUAUGGAGAGCCAUGAGGUCACUGUGCUCAACUUCACCUAUUAUUAUGGCAAGCAAGAUGCUCUGAAAGAAGAACAUUUUUCAUCUCAAAAGUAAAUGAACGGCUUAUGAGUUCAUAUUGGUAAUAUUACCCAAAACGGCUAUGGAAGCAAAUGACUACAUUAGUAGCAAAACACAAAAGAAGUUACGUAAAUGUUCACAAAACACUUUGUGGGAAAUUCACGCCCUUCCCACAGCAGUUAUUUGCCUGCCUUUGAUCUUCAGGGUUCUCAGGCUCCAUGGCCUGUCCCAGCGACUCCUCCUUCAUGCUUAUCAGCUGCCACAUUUCUAGGAAUCAACACAGAUUCUUUGGAGAAAAAAAGAAGGACUGGCACUUUUUCUUAAGGACUCACAAUUCCAUACAAAGGUGGAUCCAAGCACUGUGAGGGGUUUAAUGCUCACAAUUUGGAAGGCUCUCUUUGAAAAAACAGAGGCUAAAUGAUGAAUACAAAAUUAGGUAUAAAUCCUUGGAAGGGGAGUAGAAGUGAGGUACCCAGAGUGUAGGCUUUAUUAGCGUUUAGAAAAUCCAAUUCUGAUUUCACAGUAUCAGAGACAAUCUUGUAAGUUAUGGCAUAGUCUAUAUCUGCAUCUGUCUGUCACCAUUAUCAGCAAACCCAAAUGGUUCCCAGUUGACAAAAAAAGAGACAUUCUCCCCCUGAAGGGGGUGGCUAAAGCUCUCAGUUUUCAUCUUGUCUCCCUAGGUUUAUGUUUCCUUCUGGAAUCUUCCUCUGAUGCUCCCAUUAACCCAGUAAAGGAGUUUGUAGGUUUCCUUAAAAAGAUUUCCUUCGAAGAGCCAUCCAAGUCCAUACACACGCACACGUCACACACACACACGUGUAAAGAUCAAUCCUGCAUUAUGCCGUUAUCAAGUUGGCCAUGAAGAGAGUGACAUCGCUGCCUCAUGGUGAUGGGUCUUCCAGUUGCCAGCUCUGGGCACCUGAUUUCUCUGGACACGACAGACGUAUGAUAUAUAAAAACUAUAGACUCAUGCUACAUUGAAACAAAUUUAACUGGAUUUAUCCAAACACAGGAACCACAGACACCAGAUUUUAUAAAAGUUCACAUAAGAGUUAUUCACUAUAAUAGGUUUCCAAAUGGAAUUAAAAACGACCAAGACUGGAGUAAUUAAUCUAAAUUUGGUCAAAAAAAAAAAAAAAAAAAGAAAAAAAAAAAGAAAAACAAUAUUGCUCCAGGCCCUGCAGGGCAGAAAGGGCUCCAAACCGUGUGGGGUACGGUCGUGUGGUCACCCUACUACCCAACCAGCCAUGGAAGUGAGCCCACACGGUGCUGACCCCAGAGCUAACAGGCAUGUGGCUAGAGGUCAGUGAGAGGGUUGAGAAAUUGAUCUUUUUAAUUUUUAACUUUAAUUUUUUGAGACGUGGUCUCACUCUGCCCCUUCUCACAGGCUGGAGUGCAGUGGUGCAAUCUGGGUUCAUUGCAGCCUUGACCUCCCGAGCUCAAGCAAUCCUCCUGCCUCAGCCUCCCAAGUAGCUGGGACUACAGCCGCGUGCCACCACGCCUGGCUAAUUUUUGUAUUUUCCUAGAGACGGGGUUUUACCAUGUUGCCCAAGCUGGUCUCCAACUCUUAGGCUCAAGCGAUCCUCUGCCCUCAGGCUCCCGAGCAGCGGGGACGACAGGUGUGUACCACAAUAUCCAGCUAAUUUGUUUGUUCGUUUGUUUGUUUUGAGAUUUGGCGGUGGGGGGGAUGGGAAGGGAGGUCUCAUAAUGUUGCCCAGGCUGGUCUCGAACUCCAGGCUCAAGUGAUUCCACAGGCGCGCCCACCACGCCCCGCCCGAGAAACCCCAUCUUGAGUAGGCCCGAAGCCGGGCUGUGGAAAGCCAGGCGCGCUAAGCCCCUGGGCCUCUCCGGAGCCGCCCUCGCCCCGCGCCUGCGGUGCCACACGCAUCCGCCGCUCUGCACGCACAAGACCUCCUGGCAGGCGGAGGAGAAACUGAGGCUCCUAUCAGAUGCCCUUGCUUUUCGACUUACUUAGCACCCGUGAAACGGAGGCCUACGGAGCGGCGGCCAUGGCCUGGGCGCGUUCUGGCCACCGGGCCACACUGGAUGCCGGCCUGGCCUCGCCAGAGGGCGGAUGUGCGCUGCAGGGAGGCGGGAGGCCCUUGUGCUUCAGCCCUUGGUGAGCUGGAAAGGGAGGACAUUCUAGCUCUGAAGCAUUUACUGGGGCCCCUGCUCAAGGACCUCCCGGCUCCCUCCUGCAGAAAUAUCAGUAUCACCGCCCCACCUGCCUCUGCAAACAGUGCACCCCCGCAGCUCCCCAGCUUGGAGGCCCUGCCCAGCGGGGCUGGGAUCCUCAGCGCCCCCAGGCCUCAGCUCAUUCCUUCAGGCUUCGGCUUCUGCUGUUUUCUCACUUCCUUCGCAAUACCCUUUCUCAUUUUGCGUUAAUUUCCUGCAUGUCACAGUAAGGGCCUUACUCACAUGAUAAUCCCUAUUUAAAAUAGUUCUUACGUAGUUCUUAUUUUGUCGAGGGUACUGUGCACAGUACUUUAACACAUGAUCGCAUUUAACUCUCACAAAACUGGAAGAGGUCGCUGUUGUCAUUGUGCUCAGAUCAGUUAAGUAAUCCACCCAAGGGCACACAGCAGGUAAUAGCAGAAUAUCUUAUUCCACUGCCUGUGUUUUUAACCACUAUGCAUACUACCACCUUUUAUUAUGUAUAUAUUAAAUCAUCUUCUAUUCUUUAGUUUUCUACUGGGUUUCUUUAAAACCACUAUUUUAGAAAAACCACUCUUCGCUGGAUAAAGUACAGGGGAUCUCAUACAAGGGUACCUUGUUAAAGCAACACAAGACACUCAUGAGGAUUCCCACAGGUCUGUAAAGCUCAGUAACUUCUGUGGUCCUUCCACGAUUCACAAAUACAUUGCAAAGAUGCCAAGUGUAAAUUCAGUUCAUGGGAUAAGGCUUAAUGUCCUGUUGUUGGGUAAGAUUCACUGGUGAGGACUGGAACUGCUUUAUAGGAGACGAAACUCUAGGUUUGAGCUGAAGCCUGAGAGAAUUACAGAGAAGUGCUUGAACCAAGAAUGAAGAUACAGAAUUUCUGGAGCAUGUGUUGAUAGCAAGAGUAAAACAGGGAUUGUAGGCACUGUGAUUUUUAAGUAGGUGAUUUAGAUAACACUGAAGAAACACAAAAGCGACAACAAUCUCUCUUCACUUCAACUUCCUCAUGGGUAAACAUGUUGGACUAGCAUACAGCUAAGUCCCCAUGAUUCCACAUAUUUACUUUUUAAAGGGUUCUAAAAACUUCAUGGUGAAUUCCAGGGCUGCUGUUGUGAUUGUUACUUCAAUGUUUUACAUGGAAAAGUUUCAAACUUAUAAAAAUAGAGAGAAUGAAUCUCCAGGUACCCAUUACUCAGGUUCCACAUUUAUCAACACAUGGCCAAUUUCUUUUCAUCCAUAUCUCAUCCACUUUUACACUGCUUUUAUUAUUUUGAAACAAAUAUUUUAUUUAUAAGGCAGCAUAUCAUGUUAUUUCAACAUUAUUUCUAAAACAUAAAGACUUUUAAAAAAUAGCCGUAAUACCAUUAUCUCAACUAAAAAAUACAUAAACACAUAGAAAAGGAUUCUGCGAAGUCAUUAAAUAUUUAGCCAGCCAGUGAAGCUUCUUAAGGUAUAAUUAAACAUUUGUUCAGAGCUAGGCUAGGAUUCUGAUAGGGAUCAAAAUACGCCACCCCCAAUUAUGUGACACUGGCAUAUUGAUUAUUUUGAGCUGAAGGCAACUGAGAAACAACAGAUAUAAGAAGAGCUGUCUGCUCUCCCCCUUUCUGCCUAAAAAAGAGCAUAAAUAUCCCCCACCCUGUACUAGGAUAAGAGUGACCUUUAUCGCAGAGACAGAGAGCUGUCACCAAGAUGAGUCUGCAUAAGCAAACCUUACUAAAAUAGCCCUUUCUCACAAUUAUAUCAACCCUAGGAGCCCAAAUCCCCUUUCAUUUGUAGUCACUUCUUCCACAAUUUCUCACCCUUUGUUAAAAUGGUAUAUAAGCUCCCAACUCUAACUUUUUUUUUUAUAAGUUCCACUUCUUUUCUGUGACGCCCCUGUGCAUAUAAAAUUAAAAACAUUAAUAAAAUUUGUAUGUCUUUUCUCUUGUUGUCUGUUGUCAUUUUAAUUCACAGGCUCUAGUUUUUUUCCUUCCCUAUAGAUCUCAUACAUUUUAAAAAACAACGGAGAAAUUAAUAUGAAGAAUAAUUUUAGUAUGUCUACAUUAGCAACUAAGAUAAAUAAUACUAAAUAAAAAUAAUUUCAGGGUUUUUUUUGUGUGUAUGUGUCUGAAAAGAGUAAUUCACAGUAAAAUGUAACCUGUUUUUGACAUCUGAGGGUAUAUAAAAACUGAAAGCAUAAAAAGAAAAUUACUAAGUUAAAUUUCUUAAUUUUUUCUGUAUUACUGAAUAUGAGAAUUGCCAUGUGAUCUUCAUUAUGUUCAGCAACUGAUAUAUGUGAAUAUUUGUUAUUUAUAUUCAAAGGGAUUUCAGUUAUAUAAAAUAAAAAUAAUGAUACCAAGUUUAAACCUAUUUUUUAAAAGCAAGGCUUUAAAAUUUU